GUCUUGAGGAAUGCGGUCGCCCCCUUGGGAAAGUACAUAUCUGGGAGCAGCAGGCGGCUCCGCGCUCGCACUCCCGCUCCUCCGCCCGACCGCGCGCUUGCCCCGCCGCUCCUGCCGCAGCCCCAGGGCCCCUCGCCGCCGCCACCAUGGACGCCAUCAAGAAGAAGAUGCAGAUGCUGAAGCUCGACAAGGAGAACGCGUUGGAUCGAGCUGAGCAGGCGGAGGCAGACAAGAAGGCGGCGGAAGACAGGAGCAAGCAGGUCUGCGCCUCCCCGGCCCUGCGCCCGCGCCCAGAGCGCCGGGACUCGAGCCUGGCACCCCCGGCUGGAUCCCCACCCCGAGGACUCGGGGAGCCACCACCCUACCCCCACCACCACCCAGGGCGGCCAGGGCGCGCGUCUGGAAAGAAGGAAGGGAAACGCAAGAGCCAGGCUUAGUCUAACUUUGUAGUCUGGUCUGAGAACGCUUAUUUCCCUUCUCUGGUUCCCAUGGCCCGCGAAAUCAAGUCCUAGAGGCGCUUUAUUCUCAGGACUGGGAAUCAGUUUGGGGGAGGGAGGAGGACACCCGGUUCCUGGGGACGUUUGAAGGAAGGGCGAGGGAUGGAGAAAGGGGGUCGAGUAACUCAAGUGUUAGAAGUUCUUUGACUUUUGACUAGGGAGAAAGGAACCUUAAACUUGGGGAGGAGAGGGGAGUCCUGGAGUUGUUACCUAAGAACAAAGAUGAGACGGAAUGGAGGCUACAGCCCGAAAGCCAGGCCAGCAGUGGCGUUCUUCUGUGUCCCCAAGUAGUGGACUUGAGCCCGCUGAGACCUCGGCAGGAGUCUCGUCCCAGGGCAGGUGGGUGUGCGGGGUGAGCCGCAGAGCGGUUCCAGCUCAGGUAAAGAGGAAGUUACCUCGGGUCCUUUGCACUCCAACUCGGCGGCGCCCCGAGCCCGAGGGGCCCCAGCCAACCCGACGCCCGUGUGUUGUAUGUGUCUAACACCCGGUCCGUGCCGGCCGCCCGCGCCCGCCCGCCGCUGCCCCCAGCUCGAGGAGGACAUCGCGGCCAAGGAGAAGUUGCUGCGGGUGUCGGAGGACGAGCGGGACCGGGUGCUGGAGGAGCUGCACAAGGCGGAGGACAGCCUCCUGGCCGCCGAAGAGGCCGCCGCCAAGGCUGAAGCCGAUGUAGCUUCUCUGAACAGACGCAUCCAGCUGGUUGAGGAAGAGUUGGAUCGUGCCCAGGAGCGUCUGGCAACAGCUUUGCAGAAGCUGGAGGAAGCUGAGAAGGCAGCAGAUGAGAGUGAGAGAGGCAUGAAAGUCAUUGAGAGUCGAGCCCAAAAAGAUGAAGAAAAAAUGGAAAUUCAGGAGAUCCAACUGAAAGAGGCCAAGCACAUUGCUGAAGAUGCCGACCGCAAAUAUGAAGAGGUGGCCCGUAAGCUGGUCAUCAUUGAGAGCGACCUGGAACGUGCAGAGGAGCGGGCUGAGCUCUCAGAAGGCCAAGUCCGACAGCUGGAAGAACAAUUAAGAAUAAUGGAUCAGACCUUGAAAGCAUUAAUGGCUGCAGAGGAUAAGGUACUGAUGGCUCAUGUGUGGUUUUUAGGUUUAACUGCAACCCAGACGUCUUUCAGCUUCCAAUGCCUACUGGUUCGUUGGGUAUAACGACUGCACCUUCACUUCACCCUCUGCUAUUUAUAUCUUGCUUUAAGUGCUUUCCCUUGGUCCUUUAUGCUCCUUUGUUUUCCCUUCAUAAAUGCUCUUUGGGCAGCCAAAAAAGGAGCCAAAUUAUCGCACUUCAAAGUUGUUGGAUUUUGUCACCCUGCCUUCUGCUGUUGCGAGGUUGGGGGGCAGUGUUCCUGGCAAAACUAAACAUUUUAAUACCUGAUGAUUUGGCUACUUUAAGGCAGCCCUUCGUCUCUAGGACUCAGUUUUCAUUUUUUCCCAUCCCUCUCCUUUUUCUCUCCUCCUUCCUUUGGCUUGUCUCCCACCCUUUCUGCCUCUGAUCGAAAACAUUAGCAAAUGUGCCGAGCUUGAAGAAGAAUUGAAAACUGUGACGAACAACUUGAAGUCACUGGAGGCUCAGGCUGAGAAGGUAGGCCAGGAGCAUGGUGUGGGGGAAAGGCAUCUUUUAAGAGCUGCUCAAAAGAGGCCCUGCCAGAAAGCAACACUUACAGUAGACAUUUUAGUAAAUGGCAAUAUUGUGAGGUGAUUUUUGGAGAGUUACUAGAUAACAAAUUCUUUUUUUUAACUAGAGAAUUUAUUUUAUGUUAGGGAUAUGAGUCAUCAAUUUAAUUUAAACCAAGUGCCAAGUGGAUAAGUUAUCUUGUUGUUAUCCCAUGUAAAACAAUAGGCAAGAAAGCAGAGAAUGUAUUGCAGUGUGCCAUUUGAUAUCAGAGAUUCCAUUACCUCCUAAGAGAUCCUUAACAUCUGUUGCCUGGGCUGGCGAGUUCUUUGCAUGAGAAGCCAUGAGUAGAUUGAGCUGCAGCCUGACAUCUGGAAUGUUCUUUCUAAUUACAGUACUCGCAGAAGGAAGACAAAUAUGAGGAAGAGAUCAAGGUCCUUUCCGACAAGCUGAAGGAGGCUGAGACUCGAGCUGAGUUUGCGGAGAGGUCAGUAACUAAAUUGGAGAAAAGCAUUGAUGACUUAGAAGAGAAAGUGGCUCAUGCCAAAGAAGAAAACCUUAGUAUGCAUCAGAUGCUGGAUCAGACUUUACUGGAGUUAAACAACAUGUGAAAACCUCCUUAGCUGCGACCACAUUCUUUCAUUUUGUUUUGUUUUGUUUUUAAACACCUGCUUACCCCUUAAAUGCAUUUUUAUUUACUUUUACCACUGUCACAGAAACAUCCACAAGAUACCAGCUAGGUCAGGGGGUGGGGAAAACACAU
This 2860-nucleotide small RNA is filed under the name Pongo abelii (Sumatran orangutan). Its description in RNAcentral is "retained intron". Lineage: Eukaryota; Metazoa; Chordata; Mammalia; Primates; Hominidae. The record is from RNAcentral.